This 468-nucleotide ribosomal RNA is filed under the name uncultured bacterium. Its description in RNAcentral is "partial 16S ribosomal RNA". It matches the Rfam family "Bacterial small subunit ribosomal RNA", at positions 28 to 507 of the family's 1533-position model. The record is from RNAcentral.
GACGAACGCUGGCGGCGUGCUUAACACAUGCAAGUCGAACGGAAAGGCCCUGCUUUUGUGGGGUGCUCGAUUUGCGAACGGGUGAGUAACACGUGUGUAACCUGCCCUUGACUUUGGGAUAUCUUCAGGAAACUUGGUCUAAUACCGGAUAGGAUCUCCUGCUGCAUGGUGGGCGUUGGAUAGUUUCGGCGGUUGGGGAUGUACUCGCCGCUUAUCCGCUUGUUGGUGGGGUAGUGGCUUACCAAGGCUUUGACGGGUAGGCGGCCUGAGAGGGUGACCGGAAACAAUGGGACGGAGAGACGGAACAGAGGAGAACGGGAGGGAGGGGAGGGGAAGAGUGCAGAAUGGGAGGAAGGAAGAUGGAGAAAAGCAGGGUGCGGGAAGAAGGGAUGGGGGUAGAAAACGGAAGGAGGAUGAGAAGAAGCGAGAGUGACGGUAAUGGGUAAAGAAGCACCGGCUAACUACGUG